RNAcentral lists this ribosomal RNA (520 nucleotides) under uncultured bacterium. RNAcentral describes it as "bacterial SSU rRNA". It matches the Rfam family "Bacterial small subunit ribosomal RNA", at positions 20 to 518 of the family's 1533-position model. The record is from RNAcentral.
UGGCUCAGAACGAACGCUGGCGGCGUGCUUAACACAUGCAAGUCGAAACGCGAAAGGGGACUUCGGUCCUGAGUAAAGUGGCGCACGGGUGAGUAACGCGUAGAUAACCUGUCUUCAUGUCUGGAAUAAUACGCCGAAAGGGGUACUAAUACCGGAUAUUCUUGCUUUUCAUAAGUUAUGCAAGCAAAGGUGGCCUCUGCAUAUGCUACUGCAUGAAGAGGGGUCUGCGUACCAUUAGCUAGUAGGUGGGGUAAUGGCCUACCUAGGCGACGAUGGUUAGCGGGUCUGAGAGGAUGAUCCGCCACACUGGCACUGGAACACGGGCCAGACUCCUACGGGAGGCAGCAGUGAGGAAUAUUGCGCAAUGGGGGAAACCCUGACGCAGCGACGCCGCGUGAGUGAGGAAGGCCUUCGGGUCGUAAAGCUCUGUCAAGAGGAAAGAAGUGUACAAUGGCUAAUACCUGUUGUAUUUGACGGUACCUCUAAAGGAAGCACCGGCUAACUCCGUGCCAGCCGCCGC